Molecule: ribosomal RNA, 462 nt
Filed under: Triticum aestivum (bread wheat)
Lineage: Eukaryota; Viridiplantae; Streptophyta; Magnoliopsida; Poales; Poaceae
Description: partial small subunit ribosomal RNA
Source: RNAcentral
AUGCGUCAAAAGAGAUAUGCAAAUAGGGGCAGCAGGAAGUGUCGCCAGAGAAUACGGCGUACACCAUCAAGCAGGCACUCAUCAUCCUCAGGGAGCUCGGCUGAAGAUGGAGAUAAUGUUGACAGCCGCAAACAAACUACGAGAUUUCGACGACAGAAUGCUUCAUCCCAUGUUGUUGCGGUUGGUUCGGCAAACCAACCACCAAGCGUGCUAAGGGGGGCAACGAUGCCAGUGGGCAUGACCGUGCGUGGAAGCAGCAAUGAAUUGUCUUCCCAGGGAUUACAAUUGCAGCUAGAGGAGAGAGCUCGGCUGCAGCAAUGCGUACUUCAGCAGGAGAGACGAUGCAUACAUGGUUGGGAACGAAUUGGAGUGGCGGUACCAGCUCAAAUUGAUUGGAAGGCCAAUCUAUGGGGGAUCCACAAGUCUACGAACAGGAGGAGCAGUGUUGGGGGAGAUUGGUAG